This 307-nucleotide ribosomal RNA is filed under the name uncultured bacterium. RNAcentral describes it as "partial 16S ribosomal RNA". It matches the Rfam family "Bacterial small subunit ribosomal RNA", at positions 506 to 807 of the family's 1533-position model. The record is from RNAcentral.
AGACAGCAGUCGCCACGGGAAUACAGAGGGUGCGAGCGUUAAUCGGAUUUACUGGGCGUAAAGCGUGCGUAGGCGGCUUCUUAAGUCGGAUGUGAAAUCCCUGAGCUUAACUUAGGAAUUGCAUUCGAUACUGGGAAGCUAGAGUAUGGGAGAGGAUGGUAGAAUUCCAGGUGUAGCGGUGAAAUGCGUAAAGAUCUGGAGGAAUACCGAUGGCGAAGGCAGCCAUCUGGCCUAAUACUGACGCUGAGGUACGAAAGCAUGGGGAGCAAACAGGAUUAGAUACCCCCGUAGUCCCUGUCUCUUAUAC